RNAcentral lists this ribosomal RNA (494 nucleotides) under uncultured bacterium. RNAcentral describes it as "partial 16S ribosomal RNA". It matches the Rfam family "Bacterial small subunit ribosomal RNA", at positions 28 to 507 of the family's 1533-position model. The record is from RNAcentral.
GACGAACGCUGGCGGCGCGCUUAACACAUGCAAGUCGAACGGAAAGGCCUGCUUUCCCUUGUGGAUUGCGGGUACUCGAGUGGCGAACGGGUGAGUAACACGUGAGUGAUCUGCCCCCAACUUGGGUAUAAGCCUGGGAAACUGGGUCUAAUUCCCGAUAGGACUGCAGGGUGGUGCCUGUGGUGGAAAACGAUUUUCUAGUGGUUGGGGAUGAGCUCGCGGCCUAUCAGCUUGUUGGUGGGGUAAUGGCCUACCAAGGCGGCGACGGGUAGCCGGCCUGAGAGGGUGGAUGGCCACAUUGGGACUGAGAUACGGCCCAGACUCCUACGGGAGGCAGCAGUGGGGAAUAUUGCACAAUGGGCGGAAGCCUGAUGCAGCGACGCCGCGUGGGGGAUGACGGCCUUCGGGUUGUAAACUCCUUUCGACCGCGAGGAAGCCACCUGGUUGGAAGGGUGGUGACGGUAGUGGUAGAAGAAGCACCGGCUAACUACGUG